GGCCGAGUGUGUAGUUGGUUAUCACGUUUCGUUAACACCGAAAAGUCCUGAGUUCGAGUCUCAGCUUGGUCA
This 72-nucleotide transfer RNA is filed under the name Coccidioides posadasii RMSCC 3700. RNAcentral describes it as "tRNA-Val (AAC) (tRNA-Val-AAC-2-1)". It matches the Rfam family "tRNA". From Rfam's summary of the family: Transfer RNA (tRNA) molecules are approximately 80 nucleotides in length. Their secondary structure includes four short double-helical elements and three loops (D, anti-codon, and T loops). Further hydrogen bonds mediate the characteristic L-shaped molecular structure. tRNAs have two regions of fundamental functional importance: the anti-codon, which is responsible for specific mRNA codon recognition, and the 3' end, to which the tRNAs corresponding amino acid is attached (by aminoacyl-tRNA synthetases). tRNAs cope with the degeneracy of the genetic code in two manners: having more than one tRNA (with a specific anti-codon) for a particular amino acid; and 'wobble' base-pairing, i.e. permitting non-standard base-pairing at the 3rd anti-codon position. Lineage: Eukaryota; Fungi; Ascomycota; Eurotiomycetes; Onygenales; Onygenaceae. The record is from RNAcentral.